Long non-coding RNA from Rattus rattus (black rat), 496 nucleotides. RefSeq lists it as uncharacterized. The transcript is spliced from 2 exons. Lineage: Eukaryota; Metazoa; Chordata; Mammalia; Rodentia; Muridae. The record is from RefSeq and is a predicted model, not a curated record.
UCCUCCUUCCGCUCUGCAUCAGGAUAGCGAGUAGUCCGGAUAGCUGGUGUUCGGGCGCUCUGACGAGCAACUAUCCUCUUCUCCCUCGGUCUUGGUCCGUGUCACUGAGCCGGGAGAGGCCGCAAAGAUGAGCGUGAACGUCUGCGUGCCCCCCGGGGAACCAGCCCGUGGACGGCGGGGACCGGGCACGGCGCGGAGGCCCGGACGUUUACAUCAUCAUUUAUUACUGGAGACCGAGGCUCGCGUAGCCCAGGCUGACUUCAGACUCUUUGUCGCGAAGGAUGCCGUGAACUAAGAGACCUUCUUCCAUCUGCCAAGGGUUGGGAUUUCAGGCGUGGGCCACGUUGCCCGUUUUACCGGAUGCUGGGGAUCGAACCCAUGAUUUCGUGCGUGCUAAAUUAACACAACUGAGACACAUCCCUAGGUCCUAGAUCUAUUAUUUAAAUUUUAAUUUUAAAAAAGUGUUUAAAUUUUUAAUUAAAAAAAAUUUUUAGGG